CUUGCUGUGAACUCCACCUGGCAGAAGGGCAAGAGAUCGAUAGAUCCCGAGAUAGUUUCGAUACCACGGAAAAGGCUGCAUUCGAGAAAUAGAAACACUUACCAAGUUCUCGCUGAAGAUCAUCUAGAUAAAGAGUGAGGCCAAUGAAACAAACAAAGAAAACCAGGAGAAUCACACUCAGAGCCACCAUCCAUGGAUUCACCUUCGGGAAAAAGAAAUCUGAAAAAUAAACCCCACAGGAUUUACAUUAGUUUGGAAGCAGGGACAACACUAUUUUUUUCUCUAUUGCACGUAACUACGCCACUAUCCCCUAGGGAUUUUGCUUCAGACAGUGAUGGUAAUUCUUGCCCACUGCGAUCUCUCCAUAGCACCUUGGGCUCUGGGUACCACCCAGCC
This is a long non-coding RNA of Mauremys mutica (yellowpond turtle), 396 nucleotides long. RefSeq lists it as uncharacterized. Lineage: Eukaryota; Metazoa; Chordata; Testudines; Geoemydidae. The record is from RefSeq and is a predicted model, not a curated record. The transcript is spliced from 3 exons.